GCAGCCGCGGUAAUUCCAGCUCCAAUAGCGUAUAUUAAAGUUGUUGCAGUUAAAAAGCUCGUAGUUGAAUUUCGGGAUCAAUGGGUUGGUCAUGCCCUCGGUAUGUACUGAUUUCAUUGGUUCUCACCUUCUAAGGAACCAUGAUGUCAUUCGUUUGAUGUUGUGGGGAAUUAGGACUGUUACCUUGAAAAAAUUAGAGUGUUUAAAGCAGGCUAACGCUUGAAUACAUUAGCAUGGAAUAAUGAAAUAGGACAUCCGAUUCUAUUUUGUUGGUUUCUAGGAUCGAUGUAAUGAUUAAUAGGGAUAGUUGGGGGCAUUAGUAUUCAAUUGUCAGAGGUGAAAUUCUUGGAUUUAUUGAAGACUAACUACUGCGAAAGCAUUUGCCAAGGAUGUUUUCAUUAAUCAAGAACGAAAGUUAGGGGAUCGAAGACGAUCAGAUACCGUCGUAGUCUUAACCAUAAACUAUGCCGACUAGGGAUCGGAUGAUGCUUAUUUUUUAAUGACUCAUUCGGCACCUUACGGG
Molecule: ribosomal RNA, 523 nt
Filed under: uncultured Glomeromycotina
Lineage: Eukaryota; Fungi; Glomeromycota
Description: SSU rRNA
Rfam family: Eukaryotic small subunit ribosomal RNA
Source: RNAcentral